Molecule: non-coding RNA, 421 nt
Organism: Notechis scutatus (mainland tiger snake)
Lineage: Eukaryota; Metazoa; Chordata; Lepidosauria; Squamata; Elapidae
Source: RefSeq, a predicted model, not a curated record
AAAUUACUGGAUGUGGUUGUUGACAAAAGUGGAGACUACACUAUACUUGAGUUGGAGAAACUCUAUGCCUUACUGAGUCAGUGUAUUUACCGACAUCGUGGAGACUAUGACAAAAGCAAAUUGAUUGAGGCAAUGACAAGAGAAAUUGCAGCCUUCAAUCCAUAUGAAUUCACAAUUUCAUAAUAUUUUCAAAUCCCUGAAAUCCUAUUGAAAAUUAAUGUGAGACCAAAUAUUAUACAUGCACAGUAGGUUUUAUCUAAUAUAGCAUUUCUAGAUUUUUACUCAUAGAGGACAAACCCUACAUCGAGAACAAGAAUUACAGAAGGCAAAUGGUACCUGACAGUCUUAACCUACUGCGUGCUUGCUUUUUCCUCCCUUGUGGAACUGAACCUCUUACAACUAUCAGAAUCUAAUCAGUUUA